Molecule: ribosomal RNA, 465 nt
Filed under: uncultured bacterium
Lineage: Bacteria
Description: partial 16S ribosomal RNA
Rfam family: Bacterial small subunit ribosomal RNA
Source: RNAcentral
GACGAACGCUGGCGGCGUGCUUAACACAUGCAAGUCGAACGGAAAGGCCCUGCUUGCAGGGUACUCGAGUGGCGAACGGGUGAGUAACACGUGGGUGAUCUGCCCUGCACUUCGGGAUAAGCCUGGGAAGCUGGGUCUAAUUCCGGAUAGGAGCCAUUUUUAGUGUGAUGGUUGGAAAGUUUUUUCGGUGUAGGAUGAGCUCGCGGCCUAUCAGCUUGUUGGUGGGGUAAUGGCCUACCAAGGCGGCGACGGGUAGCCGGCCUGAGAGGGUGGACGGCCACAUUGGGACUGAGAUACGGCCCAGACUCCGACGGGAGGCAGCAGUGGGGAAUAUUGCACAAUGGGCGCAAGCCUGAUGCAGCGACGCCGCGUGGGGGAUGACGGCCUUCGGGUUGUAAACUCCUUUCGCUAGGGACGAAGCUUUUUGUGACGGUACCUAGAUAAGAAGCACCGGCUAACUACGUG